RNAcentral lists this ribosomal RNA (579 nucleotides) under Triticum aestivum (bread wheat). RNAcentral describes it as "partial small subunit ribosomal RNA". The record is from RNAcentral. Lineage: Eukaryota; Viridiplantae; Streptophyta; Magnoliopsida; Poales; Poaceae.
AUGGUUUGGUGGAAGCCUUUUGUUCCUAAAAGUGAAGGACAUAUGGGGUUUCGGGACCUAUACAAUUUUAAUCUAGCAAUGCUUGCAAAACAAUGCUGGAGGCAGAUAACUGAACCAGAAUCUUUGGUGGCGAGAAUGCUUAAAACAAAGUAUUACCCAAAUGGGUCUCUACUGGAGGAAACAUCAAAGAAUGACUCCUCAUUUACUUGGCAAAGUAUUCUAAAAGGGCUUGACACCUUCAAAAAAGGUUAUAUAUGGAGAAUUGGAACUACAGAGAAGGUAAACAUUUGGAGAGACCCAUUGAUUCCAUCUAGUGCGGUCAGAAUGAUAAUCACUUCAAGAGGUCAAACAAUUAUUACAAGAGUAUGUGAACUAAUUAAUCCAGUUAAUGGGUCAUGGGAUGAAGCCUUGAUUACAGAAUUGUUUAAUCCAGUGGAUGUUCGCAGAAUACUUUAGAUUCCUUUACAUUUGCAAGGUUUUCAUGACUUUAUUGCUUGGUACCUGAAUAGAAUAGGAAAAACUUUCGUAGAAGUUCUUAUCAUAUGCAAUGGAUGCAUAGGUUUCGGGGGCAUGCAAUGA